GCGUUUAGGAGUGAGCGUGUCGCUCUCGGGACCGGCGGCAAGUCCCCCUGACCGGGGCCUGUCCGUAGCGGGUGCGAGGCCCAUAGCCGCCGGGCCCGCGGCGAAUGCGAUCUCCUGGGAGUCGGGUUGCUUGGGAGUGCAGCCCCAAUCGGGUGGUAAACUCCACCUAAGGCUAAAUACCGCCGUGAGACCGAUAGCAAACAAGUACCGUGAGGGAAAGUUGCAAAGAACUUUGAAGAGAGAGUUCAAGAGUACGUGAAACUGCUCAGAGGUAAACGGGUGGGCCCUCGAAAUCCUGUGGCGGGAGGAUUCAGUCUGUGCCGGCGGACGCUGCGGCGGAAAGAACCGAGCAGGGCAUCCGCCUCUAGGCGGGCCGUCCGCCGCGGCGACCUCUCGCGGGCGCAGACGCAUUUGACUCCCGUCCCGAGGACGCUGCAGCCGGUUUGGAAGCGCAAGCGCGACGGCCUGGAGGCCGGGAGACGGCAGGUGGCCGGUGGCCCGCACUCAGCGGGUCGUCGGUUGUUAGCCAUCCCGGCAGUGGCCCGUCUCCAGACCGUGGUGUCGGAGCCCCCCCGGGGGCUCCUCGUCUCCUCCCCAAAGAGCGCGGGACAGGGCGCGGCUCGGGCCCUCGGCGUUCGACCCCCGCACAUCCACGGUGUGGGGGGAAGAGCCGCGGGCCCCAACCACCGCGACGGACCCGCGGGGGAACGGAGGCUGGCAGCGAGUAGGUCGGUCACCCMCCCGUCCCGUCUUGAAACACGGACCAAGGAGUCUAACAUGUGCGCGAGUCAGUGGGUCUUGAACAGGCCCACGGGCGCAAUGAAAGCGAAGGGCCGCCGAGCGCGGCCUCAGUGGGGAUCCCCGCCUUCACCGGCGGGGCGCACCCGCGACCCGUCCUAUCCGGCUCGCCGGUUGGGCGGAGUCUGAGCGUACACGUUGGGACCCGAAAGAUGGUGAACUAUGCCCGGACAGGACGAGGCCAGAGGAAACUCUGGUGGAGGUCCGCAGCGGUUCUGACGUGCAAAUCGAUCGUCAGAUCCGGGUCUAGG
RNAcentral lists this ribosomal RNA (1049 nucleotides) under Chalcolemia nakanai. Its description in RNAcentral is "eukaryotic LSU rRNA". It matches the Rfam family "Eukaryotic large subunit ribosomal RNA", at positions 148 to 921 of the family's 3401-position model. Lineage: Eukaryota; Metazoa; Arthropoda; Arachnida; Araneae; Salticidae. The record is from RNAcentral.